RNAcentral lists this transfer RNA (76 nucleotides) under Acidaminococcus fermentans. RNAcentral describes it as "tRNA-Ala". It matches the Rfam family "tRNA". Rfam says of the family: Transfer RNA (tRNA) molecules are approximately 80 nucleotides in length. Their secondary structure includes four short double-helical elements and three loops (D, anti-codon, and T loops). The record is from RNAcentral. Lineage: Bacteria; Bacillati; Bacillota; Negativicutes; Acidaminococcales; Acidaminococcaceae. RNAcentral also lists the same sequence under 30 other names.
GGGGCAUUAGCUCAGCUGGGAGAGCGCAAGGUUCGCAAUCUUGAGGUCAGGGGUUCGAUCCCCCUAUGCUCCACCA